This 1271-nucleotide ribosomal RNA is filed under the name metagenome. RNAcentral's name for it is "bacterial LSU rRNA". It matches the Rfam family "Bacterial large subunit ribosomal RNA", at positions 1643 to 2925 of the family's 2925-position model. The record is from RNAcentral.
GGUACCGCAAUCCGACACAGGUGUGCUAGGCGAGUAUCCGAAGGCGUUCGGGAGAACCCUCGUGAAGGAACUCGGCAAAAUGACCCCGUACCUUCGGUACAAGGGGUGCUCUCCGUAAGGAGAGCCGCAGAGAAUCGGCUCUAGCGACUGUUUAUCAAAAACACAGGACUCUGCCAACUCGCAAGAGGACGUAUAGAGUCUGACGCCUGCUCGGUGUCGGUAGGUUAAGGGAGCCGAUGAGGCGAGAGCUGAAGUUGGCGACCGAAGCCCCGAUAAACGGCGGCCGUAACUAUGACGGUCCUAAGGUAGCGAAGUUCCUUGUCGGGUAAGUUCCGACCUGCAUGAAUGGCGUAACGACUGGAGCACUGUCUCCACGAGGGACCCGGUGAAACUGUAGCCGUGGUGAAGAUGCCACGUACCCGCGGUCAGACGGAAAGACCCCGUGAACCUUUACUGCAGGUUGGCAUUGGGUCAGCGUCCUUUCUGUGUAGCAUAGGUGGGAGGCCGUGAUCCGGCGGCGCCAGCCGUCGGGGAGCCAUCGGUGAAAUACCACCCUGAAAUGACUCUGAUCCUCACCGGUCCGUAGCCCGGACCGGGACCAUGCUCAUCGGGCAGUUUGACUGGGGCGGUCUCCUCCCAAAGCGUAACGGAGGAGUGCAAUGGUACCCUCGGCCAGGUCGGCAAUCUGGCAACAUGACCGCAAACGUAGAAGGGUGCCUGACUGCGAGACCCAUCAGUCGAGCAGGGACGAAAGUCGGCGUUAGUGAUCCGGCGGUGCUGGAUGGAAAGGCCGUCGCUCAACAGAUAAAAGGUACUCCGGGGAUAACAGGCUGAUCUCCCCCGAGCGUCCAUAGCGGCGGGGAGGUUUGGCACCUCGAUGUCGGCUCAUCGCAUCCUGGGGCUGGAGAAGGUCCCAAGGGUUUGGCUGUUCGCCAAUGAAAGCGGUACGCGAGCUGGGUUCAGACCGUCGUGAGACAGGUCGGUCCCUAUCUGCCGUGGGCGGAUGAAACUUGCGAAGGGUCUCCCCUAGUACGAGAGGAUUGGGGAGGACCGACCUCUGGUGUACCGGCUGUCCCGCUCGGGGCACCGCCGGGUAGCUAGGUCGGGAAAGGAUAAGCGCUGAAGGCAUCUAAGCGCGAAGCCCUCUUCAAGACGAGGUUUCCAGCACGCAAGUGCGAAGGCUCCUGGAAGACGACCAGGUCGAUAGGCCGGGAGUGCACGGCGAGUGAUCGCCGCAGCCGACCGGUCCUAACAGCCGAUCGCUUGGCCAC